CCUACGGGUGGCAGCAGUGAGGAAUAUUGGUCAAUGGACGAGAGUCUGAACCAGCCAAGUAGCGUGAAGGAUGACUGCCCUAUGGGUUGUAAACCUCUUUUAUACAGGAAUAAAACGAGGCACGUGUGCAUUUUUGCAUGUACUUUAUGAAUAAGGACCGGCUAACUCCGUGCCAGCAGCCGCGGUAAUACGGAGGAUCCGAGCGUUAUCCGGAUUUAUUGGGUUUAAAGGGAGCGUAGAUGGGUUGUUAAGUCAGUUGUGAAAUUUUGCGGCUCAACCGUAAAAGUGCAAUUGAUACUGGCAUUCUUGAGUACAGUUGAGGUAGGCGGAAUUCGUGGUGUAGCGGUGAAAUGCUUAGAUAUCACGAAGAACCCCGAUUGCGAAGGCAGCUUACUAAACUGUGACUGACAUUGAUGCUCGAAAGUGUGGGUAUCAAACAGGAUUAGAUACCCUUGUAGUC
RNAcentral lists this ribosomal RNA (460 nucleotides) under uncultured bacterium. Its description in RNAcentral is "partial 16S ribosomal RNA". It matches the Rfam family "Bacterial small subunit ribosomal RNA", at positions 338 to 795 of the family's 1533-position model. The record is from RNAcentral.